GGGACAUUGGGGUGGUGGCACAUGGGGACAUUGGGGUGGCAGCAUUGGGGACAUGGGGGUGGUGGCCCACGGGGACAUUGGGUGGUAGCACCUGGGGACAUGGGGUGGUGGCACAUGGGGAUGGUGGCACAUAGGGACAUUGGGGCAGAGGCACAUGGGGACGUGGGGUGGUGGCACAUGGGGACAUUGGGGUGGUGGCACAUAGGGGUGGUGACACACGGGGACAUUGGGUGGUGGCACAUGUGGACACAGGGUGGUGGCACGUGGGGAUGUGGGGUGGUGGCACCUGGGGACAUUGGGGUGGUGGCACAUGGGGCAUAGGGUGGUGACACAUGGGGUGGUGGCACACAGGGAUAGUGGACAUGGGGACAUGGGGGGGUGGCAUUGGGGACACUGGGUGGUGACAUUGGGGGACAAUGGGAUGGUGGCACUGGGGACAUGGGGUGGUGGCACAUGGGGACAUUGGGGUGGUGGCAUUGGGGACAUUGGGUGGUGGCACAUGCUGUGGUGGCACCUGGGGACGUGGUGGAGGGGUACAUGGGGACAUGGGGUGGUGGCACAUGGGGUGGUGGCACAUGGGGACAUUGGGGUGGUGGCAUUGGGACACUGGGGUGGUGGCAUUGGGGACAUUGGGUGGUGGCACAUGGGGUGGUGGCAUUUGGGGCGGUGGCACAUGGGGAUGUGGGGACGUGAGGACAUGGGGUGGGGGCACAUGGGGACAUUGGGUGGUGGCACAUGGGGACGUGGGGUGGUGGCACAUGGGGACAUUGGGUGGUGGCACGUGGGGUGGUGGCACAUGGGGUGGUGGCACAUGGGGACAUUGGGGUGGUGGCACAUGGGGACAUGGGGUGGUGGCACAUGGGGUGUUGGCACCUGGGGACAUAGGGUGGUGGCACAUGGGGCGGUGACACAUGGGGACAUUGGGUGGUAGCACAUGGGGAUGGUGGCACAUGGGGACAUGGGGUGGUGGCACGUGGGGACAUUGGGGUGGUGGCACACGGGGGUGGUGACACACAGGGACAUUGGGUGGUGGCACAUGGGGACAUUGGGGUUGUGACACAUGGGGACAUGGGGUGGUGGCACAUGGGGACAUUGGGUGGUAGCACAUGGGGAUGGUGGCACAUGGGGACAUUGGGGUGGUAGCAUUGGGGACAUUGGGUGGUGGCACAUGGGGGUGGUGGCACUUGGGGCGGUGGCACAUGGGGAUGUGGGGACGUGAGGACAUGGGGUGGUGGCACAUGGGGACAUGGGGUGGUGGCAUUGGGGACAUUGGGUGGUGGCACAUGGGGAUGGUGGCACAUGGGGACAGGGGGUGGUGGCACGUGGGGAUGUGGGGUGGUGGCACAUGGGGUGUUGGCACGUGGGGACAUUGGGUGGUGGCACCUGGGGACACGGGGUGGUGGCACAUGGGAACGUGGGGUGGUGGCACAUGGGGACAUGGGGUGGUGGCAUUGGCGACAUUGAGUGGUGGCACAUGG
Molecule: long non-coding RNA, 1478 nt
Filed under: Numida meleagris (helmeted guineafowl)
Lineage: Eukaryota; Metazoa; Chordata; Aves; Galliformes; Numididae
Description: lncRNA (ENSNMEG00000001031.1)
Source: RNAcentral